Molecule: ribosomal RNA, 2003 nt
Filed under: Hommersandia palmatifolia
Lineage: Eukaryota; Rhodophyta; Florideophyceae; Gigartinales; Kallymeniaceae
Description: partial 28S ribosomal RNA
Rfam family: Eukaryotic large subunit ribosomal RNA
Source: RNAcentral
CGGAGGAAAAGAAACUAACAAGGAUUCCCCUAGUAGCGGCGAGCGAAGCGGGAAAAGCCCAAAAUGAAAAGCCUGCUUGCAGGCGUUGUAUUUGGAUGACCCUGGGGUGUCAGUGUGGGUAAGUUGUAUGAAAGUACACACCGUGGAGGGUGAAAGUCCCGUCCAACCUGCACAGGACGCUCCGUACCGGGUUGUUUCAGUCGAGUCGGGUAGCUUGGGAAUGCUGCUCUAAUUGGUGGUAAAUCUCAUCAAAGGCUAAAUAUUGACCAGAGACCGAUAGCGAACAAGUACCGUGAGGGAAAGAUGACAAGCACUUUGAAAAGAGGGUGAAAAGAGCCUGAAACCGUCAUGGGGGAAGCGAGUUGCGUUGGGACUACGGGUCGUUGCGUGUUCAGCCGAAGAGUCUGACUCUACGGUGCAUUGGCGUAGCGACCUAUCUGUCGUGGGUUUCGGUGGGUCGAUUUUGGACCGACCGGGGCUGAGGGCUCCCUUUCAUAGGUGAGGACGAUGGAAUGACGACGCGAUUCGACCCGUCUUGAAACACGGACCAAGGAGUCUAGCGCGACUGCGAGUCAAAGGGUGCAAGCCUGAGGGCGUAGUGAAAGCGAGUGUGAAAACGAGCAGUUUGGGGCGGCAUGAGAUCGUUGAUUUCAAGUCUGACCUAGAGCAGUUGCGCUGGGACCCGAAAGAUGGUGAACUAUUCCGGAUUGGGGCAAAGCCAGAGGAAACUCUGGUGGAGGCCCGUAGAGGUGCUGACGUGCAAAUCGCUCUCGCGAAUUUGGAAUAGGGGCGAAAGACUCAUCGAACCAUCUAGUAGCUGGUUCCCUCCGAAGUUUCUCUCAGGAUAGCGGGCCGACGAGUGUUGUUUUGUGCGGUAGAGCGAAUGAUUAGCGCACUCGGGGGCAAUAUGCCUUCGGGCGAUUCUCAAACUUUUAAUGCGCAAGGGUGCCGCUGCUUGAUUGAGCGGCACCGGCAAAAACGUCGGCCCCGUGGGCCACUUUUGGUAAGCAGAACUGGCGAUACGGGAUGAACCGUAAGCUCGGUUAAGGCGUCAAACUGCACGCUUAGAGACCCCACAAAAGGUGUUGAUUCAUCGAGACAGCAGGACGGUGGCCAUGGAAGUCGGAAUCCGCCAAGGAGUGUGUAACAACUCACCUGCCGAAUGAAUUAGCCCUGAAAAUGGAUGACGCUAAAGCGGGCGGCCGACACCGGGCCGUCUGGUCGAGUUAUGAUCAGAUGAGUAGGAGGGCGUGGUGGUUGUGUCGAAGGGUACGCGCGAGCGUAUCUGGAACGGCCACUAGUGCAGAUCUUGGUGGUAGUAGCAAGUAUUCAAGCGAGAUCCUUGAAGGGCGAAGCGGGGAAGGGUUCCACGCGAACAUUGAUUGGGCGUGGGUGAGUCGUUCCUAAGCCGAGUGGCAAUAGCUAAGUAUUGGCGAAAGGGAAGCAGGUUAAAAUUCCUGCACACGGAUGUGGACGCGGCGACGCUCAUUGGGGUGGAGACGUUGGCGAAGGCGCUGGGCAGAGUUGUCUUUUCUGUUUGACCUAUUGCGCAUGCGGUGUGGAAUCCGCUUGUCGGGAGAAACACGCGUGCCAGGGCAGAGCGCCGGGGUUUAUCCGGCGUCCAGCUCGCCUUCGACGACCCUUGAAAAUCCACCGAAUGAUAAACUCCACGCCGUGGCGUACCGAUCACCGCAUCAGGUCCCCAAGGUGAACAGCCUCUGCCCAAUAUGAAUAAUGCAGGUAAGGGAAGUCGGCAAAUUAGACCCGUAACUUUGGGAUAAGGGUUGGCUCUAGUGCUGCGUGGGAGUGGUUGCCUUGGGUCGGGAUGGCUCCCAACGCGGGACGUGUGGUCGGGCAACUGACUAUAUGGCCUGCUGAGGAGGCUAUUCUGCCUGGGGCGACGCCCACAGCAUGCAGCAAACUAGAACUGCAACGGUCAAAGGGAAUCCGACUGUUUAAUUAAAACAAAGCAUUGCGAGGGCCGUGGCCGGUGAUGACGCAAU